This 71-nucleotide transfer RNA is filed under the name Marmota monax (woodchuck). Its description in RNAcentral is "tRNA.Ala". It matches the Rfam family "tRNA". From Rfam's summary of the family: Transfer RNA (tRNA) molecules are approximately 80 nucleotides in length. Their secondary structure includes four short double-helical elements and three loops (D, anti-codon, and T loops). The record is from RNAcentral. Lineage: Eukaryota; Metazoa; Chordata; Mammalia; Rodentia; Sciuridae.
GAGGUUGAGGCUCAGUGGUAGAGCACUUGCCUAGCAUGUGUGAGGCACUGGGUUCGAUUCUCAGCACCACA